GUUUACAGUCUAGAGGGGGAGACCGGGAUCGUUAUGAAUAAAUGAAUAAUUCCAAAAGCCGCUUGGCAGGGGAAGCCGUAGCUGUGUUGACCGGAAAAAAGGUAGGACUUGGCUCCAGCCCUGAGUGGAACAAGCAAGAAUCCGGCCUGUGACUUCCUUCAACGAGAGCACGCGAUCGCCCAGUACAGUCCUCGGCACACGGCAGUGACUCCUUAAAUUCUUGGCUGGGAUUUGGAAGCCGAUCAUUUCCGCGGAGGAUUUUUCAAAGGGAAGAAAAAGCGCAGAGAAUCGCGAACCCAAAAUCCGUCGCGAAGGCGUUUAAUGAGAGACGUCGCUACCAUGAUAAUCAAGACAAAGUGGAGCCACGGCCGAUGGGAUCGGUUAAUAACCGUGAACGUGCCUAGCCCUCGGAAACCAUCAAGAAGGAUCGUCGUCACGCUCAUCACCAUCCCGAGACGACGCCUACGCUAAAACGAAGCGGGCGGUUCGGACUGUGACGAUCUGUAAAUCGGGAAGGGACGAUACUGAGAACGAUUUAUGAUCCGUGCAUCAGUAUGACCUUAAAGGCUCUCGGAGUACAGCACGACUGGUUAUGUUCCGUAAAAAGCCCGGCGCUUAGACGCGUCACGCAACUGCAUUUCGGCGGGUCGGAAGGCAUUUACUUUGUCCAGAUUCCGCAGGAUUCAGGCGAUGACGAUAAUAAUGACAAUUUAAUAA
Molecule: long non-coding RNA, 717 nt
Organism: Ornithorhynchus anatinus (platypus)
Lineage: Eukaryota; Metazoa; Chordata; Mammalia; Monotremata; Ornithorhynchidae
Exons: 2
Source: RefSeq, a predicted model, not a curated record